AGAAUGCAGACCUGCCGGUGCAUGCCCUGUCAGUACCUUCCACAUUCAGGUCUUGAGGUGUGACCAUGAGGGCAGUGCAUCUGAUGGUAACUUCUUGUGGGUGUUUGCUUCUAGUUGUGGACACAGAGAGUGCUCUUUCAGCCCCUGAGCUAGAGCCAGAUUCCAUGCUGAUUCCAAGCUGGUAUCUCAAGCGUGAGUAGUCAAGUCUCUACUGCCUUACAAGAAUGAACACUCCAUUAUCCUACUUACUCAUGGGAAAUGUACCUUCAUAGGUUAACCUUCUUUUGUAACUCUAACCUAGGGAAGAAUGAUGACAAGGUCCCUGAAGAAUUCCCUGAAGGAGUCCCUGAAGUUCCAGAGGAGCUUCCGACAGCCUUGGAUGAAGCCUCAUCUGGGUCAGCUACUGUGCAAAAAGCCAAGACUGCUGGACAGUGGGAACUCAAUAAGAACUAUAUCCUAGCGUCUGUAGUAGUUUCAGCUGUACUGCUGCUUGCAGGAGUGGUUGGGUACAUAGUCAUGGGUCAGCUUCUGAAGAGAGACACGAGGAUUCAGGGAGACGAAGAAGCAUCAACAGAAACCCACACUUAAUUCCUGUUUGGCCAGCAAAGAUUAGAGUAAAACUAAUGGCAAAGCAGAGUGAGGAGAAUGCCCAGGAGGGAUCAAGAAUGUCCAAGCCAACAAGUUCAACAACAGUUGCAACCUGUCACCAGAGAUCUCUGUGGCAGAGCUCACCCAGCUGUACAAGACCAUGGGUGCAGACCCCUAACUUCUGCCUGUUGCAGGUGCCAUUUGUCUGAUGGUGCCUUUUCACAGGUGUUCUAG
RNAcentral lists this long non-coding RNA (822 nucleotides) under Parus major (Great Tit). RNAcentral's name for it is "lncRNA (ENSPMJG00000015855.1)". Lineage: Eukaryota; Metazoa; Chordata; Aves; Passeriformes; Paridae. The record is from RNAcentral.